This is a small nuclear RNA of Camelus dromedarius (Arabian camel), 118 nucleotides long. Its record names the gene U2. It matches the Rfam family "U2 spliceosomal RNA". From Rfam's summary of the family: U2 is a small nuclear RNA (snRNA) component of the spliceosome (involved in pre-mRNA splicing). Complementary binding between U2 snRNA (in an area lying towards the 5' end but 3' to hairpin I) and the branchpoint sequence (BPS) of the intron results the bulging out of an unpaired adenosine, on the BPS, which initiates a nucleophilic attack at the intronic 5' splice site, thus starting the first of two transesterification reactions that mediate splicing. NCBI's taxonomy places the organism in Eukaryota, Metazoa, Chordata, Mammalia, Artiodactyla, Camelidae. The record is from Ensembl.
AUCACUUCUAGGCCUUUUGGCUAAGAUCAAGUGUAGUAUCUGUUCUCAUCAGUUGAAAGUGAAUGGUAGAAACUAACUUUCCCUCAUCAUCUGAAGUAACAAUUUUCCAACAACUUCU